This 24-nucleotide microRNA is filed under the name Eisenia fetida (common brandling worm). Its description in RNAcentral is "Efe-Mir-87-o12_5p* (star (passenger))". Lineage: Eukaryota; Metazoa; Annelida; Clitellata; Crassiclitellata; Lumbricidae. The record is from RNAcentral.
AUGCCUGAAAUCUUGACUCAGUCC